AUUGCAACAGAGCGCACUCUGGUGUACAAAGCUGGGAGCCAGGAUGGGAGGAGAUUGCGAGAAGCAGUGCUUUGCCCAAGUUUGAAGUUGAUUUGUACAGCUCUAAGAAGUUAUUGUAAGUUACUAGCUUGGAUCCUAUCUGCUGCCCAGCGCCAGGAGCUGAGACCAGCCGAGGACACCUUCUGCAGAGCCCAAACUGAGCUGGAGCCUUCCUGUCUCCUUGGUGAAGACUCUCCCGCAGCAGACUCAGCCUCGCGUUUUGUAUGCAUGCAUGCUUCUGUCAGGGGUGUGGGUGGAGCAGGGGCGGGGUGUGGGUUUGUUUCUCCACGUGUCUCUGUGUGUUGGUGGGGGUACAUAUUGCUAGCAUAAUUCACAGUUUUUAAUUUAUGUUACUUAUUUUUAAUUUUUUUUUUUUUUUGAGACAGCCUCACUCUGCCUCCCAGGCCAGAAUGCAGCAUUGCAAUCAUGGCUCACUGCAGCCUUGACCUGCCAUACUCAAGUGAUUCUCCUGCUUAAGCCUCCCAAGUAGCUGGGAGCACAGGUGUGUGCCACCACACCCAGCUAAUUAAAGAUUUUCUUUUUUUUCAUAGAGACAGGGUCUCAUUGUGUUGCCCAGGCUGCUCUUGAACUCCUGGACUCAAGUGAUCCUCCCACCUGAGCCUCCCAGAGUGUUGACUGGGAUUAUAGACAUGAACCACUGCACCCACCCUCAGCAUUUUAAAAAAUAAAGUUAAUUAUUAUUUUUUCUCCUGUAGCUACAAACUUAAUUUUUUUUUUUUGAGACACAGCCUUGCUCUGUUGCCCAGGCUGGAGUACAGUGGCGU
Molecule: long non-coding RNA, 824 nt
Filed under: Aotus nancymaae (Ma's night monkey)
Lineage: Eukaryota; Metazoa; Chordata; Mammalia; Primates; Aotidae
Description: lncRNA (ENSANAG00000038694.1)
Source: RNAcentral